RNAcentral lists this ribosomal RNA (323 nucleotides) under Cercomonas sp. RNAcentral describes it as "SSU rRNA". The stretch from base 63 to 323 matches the Rfam family "Eukaryotic small subunit ribosomal RNA", at positions 693 to 955 of the family's 1831-position model. Lineage: Eukaryota; Cercozoa; Cercomonadida; Cercomonadidae. The record is from RNAcentral.
GAUUUCUGGUUCGGCGCACUUGGCCCGUCUCGGUUUACGGGAUUGCGUGCCGGUGUGCGCCAUCCAUCCUUCGGGAAAUACACAGCUACCCUUUACUGGGCGGUUGUGCUAUCCCGAUCUUUUACUUUGAAAAAAUUAGAGUGUUUAAAGCAGGCUUGCGCUAUGAAUACAUUAGCAUGGAAUAAUAAUUUAGGACUUUAUUUCUAUUUUAUUGGUUUCUAGAGAUAAAGUAAUGAUUGAUAGGGAUAGUUGGGGGUGCUAGUAUUCACCGGCCAGAGGUGAAAUUCUUGGAUUCGGUGAAGACUAACUUAUGCGAAAGCAUU